Molecule: long non-coding RNA, 3559 nt
Organism: Xenopus laevis (African clawed frog)
Lineage: Eukaryota; Metazoa; Chordata; Amphibia; Anura; Pipidae
Exons: 3
Source: RefSeq, a predicted model, not a curated record
UAAAUCUUUUCUCUUUGAGCUGCUAAACACAGGUAUUUGCAUUUAUGUAUUUUUUUUUCUUCCUGGCAUCACAGAACAAAGACAAAGAAGACAAAAAAAACAACCAAACAAAUGGUGGAAGAUCCAAGUUCGAAGCCCAACAGCAGAAUAGCACUUUUUGAUGAAAUAGAUCCAGACGCGGGUUUGUUUGAACCAAGCAAAAAUCCCUCAACAAACACAAAGAAACCAUUAACUGCUGCAGAUGGGAAAGAAAACUCUAUUAAUCAUUUCACAGUAAAUAAAGUUAUUUGAAGAACAAGACCUUGGAGGCACCGUGCAGUUAGGCGAUUCUCUCUUAAUGCCAUCUGCCUUCAAGGCUAAGGAUUUGUUUAAACCAGCCACCAGCGAGGACCUGGAUGAACUGUUCAGGGUCGAAGAAGGCUUUGAGAAACUGUUGAACCAAAACCAAAGAAGAAAGGCAAGCCCCCAGUACCAGCAAAACCAUCUUUCACCAAAGCGUCCGGUGAUUCUGAAAAACUGCCUGUGCCCCCGGCAAAGAGAGAGGCCAAUAUAGAAGCCAUGGAUGAGUCAGACACCCUCAGGUACAUCACAGAGAAUCAGCAAGAACACAGUGACUCAGUCAAUCUCUUCUGAACGGUUAGUUAGACACAUUCCUUCUGCCGAGGCCUCCUUAGUGCCCUGCCGCACAUACACAGAACUCUGUUCUCAGCAGCCACAUGCAAUGAAUGCUCCUAAACUUUAGCCAACCGUCUGGGUUCCUCCUCAAAAAACGCCUUGAUCCUUCUCCUAAAUGGAAUAGGGAAAAUAUCAAAGAGUGAUGUGUGGAUGAAUCCCUUGAAUGGGUUUCAUGCAUUUGAUGUGUAAACAGGUAUCGGAUUUAUUAUGUUUAUGAAAACAACUUUGAUGAUGUUUUAAUGAACAAAUAAAAAAAAGUAUGAAGUAACGUGUCAAGGUUAUGCACAAAUAUGGCCAACGUGUGCCUUUGCUGUGCAAUCUGUACCAGCUUUCAUCGUUGGCAGUUAACCAGUAGAUGCCAAAUGUUGACUGGCUGCUUUAGAGGACAAAAAAACAUGCUUGUGUUUGGGCAUAGUCGGGCACUGUAAUGCUAGUCCUACACCAUUAUCAUGAACUGGAGAGAGUAGAUCGGCCAAAACUGACCAGUGACUCAACUGGCACCUGUAUGUGAUAACUGGCUGAACUGGACGUUCCAUUGCUACAGAUUGGUCCAACUGGGCACGGCUGAUAUCUAUUUAUCUAAGUUUUCCAGCCAGGAAUAGAGGGGUGUAUGUGACCACUGAUUUAUUUUUUAAUCUAAACAUAUCUCUUAAACAAGACUGAGAUGGAUUGACCAGUAAAAGUGAAGUAAAACUAAUGAAAGCAAAAUCCUGGUUGGUUGCUCUGUCUUAUCACUUCAUAUCGGAAAUGAUGUGAAGAUUCUUAGUUAUUUUUAGCUUUUGUAACUGUCUGAAGUUAAACAUACUUUUUGUUAUUGGAUUUGAUGUGGCAGAUCACGGGUGAACCUCAAAAUGUCCACCCGACACCAACCUUAGCCUGCUCACUUCCAACUGGAAACCAAUACAACCCAGCAUGUUAUCCUUACCUAUAUACCAACGCUCACCCUGCCCCUCUCUGACAUUACUUGAGGGGAGCAGGACAGGCACAAUAUAUCAAUAAAUAGGAAUGCACUGAAUCCAGGAUUCGGUUUGGUAUUCAGCCAUUUUCAUCAGGAUUCAACAAAAUCCUAUAACUUUUUGUCACAAAACAAGGAAGUAAAAAAUUUUUUCCCUCCCCCUCACUGAUUUGCAUAUAGGGUUCAGAUUCAGUUCAGUAUUCGUCCGAAUCUUUCACAAAGGAUUCCGGGGUUCAGACAAAUCCAAAAUAGUGGAUUCGGUGGAUCCCUAUCAAUAAGUGACAGCCAAAAGAUGGAGCAGAAAUUGGAGGGAGCUGAAAUUGUGGGUGGGUUCAACCGAGGACAAAUUCAACCAGCCACCAGCCCAUGACCCGGAAUUCUGCGUUGGCCUGGACCUGCCUGACCCAUGAGUCCCAAGUGUUUUGGUACAAUCGUACCCAUGCUAAAGCUUUUACCUAUACGUUUAAAAGGGAAGUAGUGAGAGGCACCGAGGGUCAUUUUGAGUGUUCCUCAUGCUCAUGUUUAGUUCUAACACCUCCUAGUGCUUGUGAAUUGUGUGCGCAAAAAACAUUGCUAAUGGUACACUUGACUUGUAACCUUGAGAGAACAAAGCAGAGUGUAAUAUGGCAGCCCACCAGAUCCCCCAAUCACCAGAAGCACAUUGCCAAUGGAAGCCAGGACAAAAUUGGCUUCCCCUUCUCAUGCUACUGCUUCGUGCUCAGAGCCAGGGAAGAUUUAGUGGAACGCUGAACUAAAGUAAAAAUUAAAGAUGUAAACUAUGGCUCCCCAAGUAUGUAAUAUGGUCCAGGAGCACCAACCCCAAACCCUCAGCAAAGUGUGCGGAAAAACUGGAUAUCUCAACCACAAAAAUUGGGAUUUAGGCACUCAAAAACCACGGAGGUCACCAAAAAAAUUAUUUAAAAACAAAAAACUUUGUGCAUUACACUUUUUAUGCUUUCUGAGCAGUUAGUCAAAUGAUCAGUGCCAGGGAGUCAGAUAUAAGAAAUUAUGUGUCCAAAUAUGGUGGCUGCAAAUCCCAGUUCAUUGAAAUGGCAUGUGUGGUGGUUAUUGCUGUCCUUCAGGGCUUUUACAGUAACUGGUAUUACAUUGUACAAAAGCAAAGUGGGGCACCCUAUUGGGGGAUGUCUAACCUGUAGGUUGCACUACAACUCCCAGUACUGAAUAUAUCUUUAUAAGGGAGUGACUGAGAUAGUAAAGUCAGCAGGUAGCAUAGAAAUUACUUAGAAAUCUUGCUGGUUGCUAUGGGUUACUAGACCUGCUUAAUUGCUUAAGGCAUUAGAGCCUCUUUAACUCAACACAAGUAAACCGUAAAAGAUGCACAUAACCAUACGACGAAUAGUGACUAAGAAUGCUGGGAUAUGGAUAAUUCCCCUUCUUUCUCCCUGUAUGCUGUCUGUAGGUCAAUAAGAAAUAUAAUGUGAACUAUUUUGUAGUUAUAAUGAAGAAAUAAUUGCAAAUUGCACUCUAAUCUGCUAUUAUUAUAAACAUGAAGGAAAGCAGCUCACCGCACCCUAGUGAAUGCACACUUGGAGCUUGCACAAUAAGGAGACUGGGAGCUGGAAAUUAGGAAGUGCUGUGUGCUUAGAUUUAGGGGCUUACUGUAUGUGCGGGACAUUGUGUGUGUUUUAUGGCAAGGCUAUCAGUGGAACAGGCGUCUCUAUGAGGUCCAGACAUGAGCCAAACUGUACUUCAUUUCAUAUUAAGUGGAAUGUUUAAUGUACCGUACGUACCGCUGUCGACUGGAUCCUCUCUCAGUUCUGCUGGAUCUGUUUUCCCUCAUCUAUAUUUACUUAUUACCUUAUCUGUAUUGCUGGAAUCCUUUUAUAAUUGUAUUAAUUCAUGCCCAUGAUCCUUUUAUAAUUGUAUUAAUUCAGAUGAUUUUUGGCAAUAAAUGAGAAGUGAAUUACA